RNAcentral lists this long non-coding RNA (375 nucleotides) under Monodelphis domestica (gray short-tailed opossum). RNAcentral's name for it is "lncRNA (ENSMODG00000034482.2)". The record is from RNAcentral. Lineage: Eukaryota; Metazoa; Chordata; Mammalia; Didelphimorphia; Didelphidae.
UUAUAUGAACACCUGAAAAAUGAAGUGAUCCGAACCAGAAUAUUGUGUGCAAAAUCAACAAUAUUGUAAGAAUGAUCCUCUGAUCAAGACAAUGAACCAAGACAAUUCUGAAGGACCCAUGCUAAGAAAUGCUAUGUACCUCCAGAGAGAGAACUGAGGAACUCACUGCAGUGACUUGAAUGGAAUUUACUGCUUAGUAAGUACUUGUUGGAUUGGAUUGGACCCAGAGAUUUCUUCAACUUGCCAAAGGCAUUCUGGACCAAAGAAAACCUGGAACAAAGGAGCAGCAAGAGACUGUCACAGAGGUAAGAGGGGGAAAGACCUGAAUUUAAAUCUGGCCUCAGAUACUGCUUGUGGGACUAGAAUGAAUCACUU